RNAcentral lists this unclassified non-coding RNA (252 nucleotides) under plant metagenome. RNAcentral describes it as "partial contains small subunit ribosomal RNA, internal transcribed spacer 1, and 5.8S ribosomal RNA". The record is from RNAcentral.
UUUCCGUAGGUGAACCUGCGGAAGGAUCAUUACUGAGUGUUGAAUGAAGUUGUUCUGGUCUCUCGGGGCAAGUGAACGCUUCUCUCAAUCCAUCUUACACCUGUGCACCUAUCGGAAAAGACUUGGAUCUAAGUUGGGUCACGACGGCGAUCUACAGUCUCCUCUUUAUACAAAAUAACAGUUUUAGAAGUCUGUUUUUCUUGAUGCAAACUUAAAUAAAUACAACUUUCAGCAACGGAUCUCUUGGCUCUC